AGAUGUGAGGGUGAUCUGGCUGCGACAUCUGUCACCCCAUUGAUCGCCAGGGUUGAUUCGGCUGAUCUGGCUGGCUAGGUGGGUGUCCCCUUCCUCCCUCACCGCUCCAUAUGCGUCCCGACGCUGCGUGCUCGGUCAAAGAGGACGGCCUUCCCCGAAUAGAGACAGACCAGUCUUUUGUCGAGGGUAUAGGAGUAGCUGCGCUCCCCUGCUAGAACCUCCAAACAAGCUCUCAAGAAUGGUUAGGAUCUGAGGGUGAACCCACAUGUGGGGUACAGAGCCAAACCCAUAUCCUUUUUAUUU
This 303-nucleotide small nuclear RNA is filed under the name Erinaceus europaeus (western European hedgehog). RNAcentral's name for it is "7SK RNA (ENSEEUG00000017985.1)". It matches the Rfam family "7SK RNA". From Rfam's summary of the family: 7SK was discovered as an abundant small nuclear RNA in the mid-70s but a possible function has only recently been suggested. Two independent studies have found that 7SK RNA binds the CDK9/cyclin T complex (known as elongation factor P-TEFb). P-TEFb activates transcription by phosphorylating the C-terminal domain of RNA polymerase II. The record is from RNAcentral. Lineage: Eukaryota; Metazoa; Chordata; Mammalia; Eulipotyphla; Erinaceidae.